This 139-nucleotide non-coding RNA is filed under the name Enorma phocaeensis. Its description in RNAcentral is "FMN riboswitch (RFN element)". It matches the Rfam family "FMN riboswitch aptamer (RFN element)". Rfam says of the family: The RFN element is a highly conserved domain that is found frequently in the 5'-untranslated regions of prokaryotic mRNAs that encode for flavin mononucleotide (FMN) biosynthesis and transport proteins. This element is a metabolite-dependent riboswitch that directly binds FMN in the absence of proteins. The record is from RNAcentral. Lineage: Bacteria; Bacillati; Actinomycetota; Coriobacteriia; Coriobacteriales; Coriobacteriaceae.
GUUUCAGGGUUGGGUGAAAUUCCCUACCGGCGGUAACCGACGCGUGACUUGGGUCACAUCACGUCGGAAGCCCGCGACCCGCGCAAGCGGCUGACCCGGUGAGAGUCCGGGGCCGACGGUACAGUCCGGAUGGAAGAAA